RNAcentral lists this unclassified non-coding RNA (2602 nucleotides) under Hevea brasiliensis (rubber tree). The record is from RNAcentral. Lineage: Eukaryota; Viridiplantae; Streptophyta; Magnoliopsida; Malpighiales; Euphorbiaceae.
GCGGAGCCUUAUCUGCUGGUAAUUUAUCUGCGUUCGUUGCCACCAACAACUGAACACGCACACAGAAACAGACUUUCGCUCUCUCUGACUCUUUAGUUAAGCUCCUCUUUUUCUGCUCAAAGAUCACUUGAAGAAAGAACCCAGUUUGCAUUUCUAUUGAAAAUGGUGAAUACUAUAUGUUUGACCCCUGUUUGCUCUUCUCUCUCUCCUAACAAACCAGGAGUAGUUCUUGGGAAUUCCGCUGCUGGGAAGGUUCUUAGGGUGAACAAAGUUUUCCAAACUUUCAAAUAUAGUAAAUUUCAAUCUUUGGAAGUUAAGGUGAGUGGUUGCUAGGAAAAGAUUUAUUUUAAUCUCAUCCGCUAUAUCUAUAUGCUUGUUGCUUGGUUUAGAAACGCUACAAUAGUUUACUAAUGGGCGCUAGUACUUUUCUAACUCGCCACGCAUUAUGUUGUAUGAGAAACCAUUUAUAUUGCUAUUUGAAAGUCACAAAGAGUUCUUAAUUGAUUGGAUUAAAAUAUGUGGUAAUUUAUAGUGUGUGAAUUAGCAAAAUUAAGGAAGAAAACAACGAAGUAAUUGGAGAUGGAUGGUAGGGAUAUGAAUGACCAUUCUGAUAAUCUUUGAUGAAAAUAUUAGUGGUAAUCGAAGAGUAUGGUCAAAAUCCAAAUCUUUGACGCAAAUUGAUGUGGUGGAAUGCUUAUGAGACAUGAUCAUUGAUGCCUAUGUAUGAUGUAUCAAACCAGAGAAAACUUUGCUGAUAUAGUUUUUUUUUUACCAUAUUUUAGUGUUCAUUUCAUGAGAUGGCAAUCUAAGAUAGUAUUUGCACUUUAGUGCAUUUUUGGGGCAGUGGAUUGGCAAUGGUUAAUGGCAAAAGUAGGUUACUGAACUAGUUGGCUGCAAGAAAUAUUAUGCCCUUGCUAAUGAUGAAUUCUGGGAUCAAGUGGGCCCAAUCAUUGUAGAAUAGAACUCUAGAGAAAUGUUAGUUUUUCAUGGAAUACAAUUUACCUUGUGUUUGAAUGAGGGAUUUACAAUGUGGGAUUUGAAUUUGAUAAAAUUAUAGAUUUUUUUUUUCAAUUGAUUAGACUCAUGAAUUUAUAUUAGACUCAUAAAUGUGGAAAUCAUCUUAUUUGAGUGUGGAGUUGAAAUGAAAGCUUGAUAUUCCUUUUUUCUCUUUUUCUGGUAUAUUUCCUUGGAAGUCACUUUUCUCUGUUUGACAGGCUACAGAUAGUGGUAAAAGCACUAAACCAAAUAGCUUAGUCUGUCCUGAUUGUGAUGGAAACGGUGCUAUAUUGUGUUCCCAAUGCAAAGGAACAGGAGUCAAUUCUGUUGACCACUUCAAUGGACAGUUUAAGGCCGGUGGAUUAUGCUGGCUCUGCAGGUACUAGCAGCAAUUUUUCUUUGCACCCUUCACUGUUAGUUAUUUAGUGUUAGAACAGCAUAUAAAAUACUAGUGCUAGUAUUAUGUUUCAAUCAGUCCGUGAAGAAGUAAUUCAUUUGAAAAUUUGUCUUGGAAACACAUCAUUGCCAUUGUUAAUAUGAAAUUAAACAUGCUUUUGAAAUCAAUUAUUAUUCAAGUUUGAUCACUUGAUUAUUUUUCUUUUCUUUUCCCUGCAUUCUCUUGAUUAUCAUUCUCUAAAUUCUGCGUCAUUUUUCAAUAUAAAACCCCAAGACACAUUCUUACCUUUCUAGUUCUUGGAUUUUGUGCACAGAUGUCAAACCAUACUGCUAGAUUGGGCAUUAUAGGAAACUCCAUAACUUUUUUGUGUUUUAUUUGAACAAAUGUUGGCAACAUAAAAUAGUUUCUGAUGAAGAGAUUUGACACGUGCUUUAUCUAGUCUGAGGCUCUGAGCAACAGUCGGACCGAAACCAGCCUGAAUUGAACUGACUGGUCCUGUUUGGUUCCAGGUCAAAUUUGGUUUUCCCUUCUAAAAAAUAUGGAAAAAAAUUUUGACUGUCAGAUUUGAUCAAAACUGGUCUGAACCAGGAUCCCUGUGGUCUGGUCCCAGUCCCCUUAAACUGCUGAACCAGACCACAGGCAACCCUAGCUGUAUCCCUCCUCCUGGAUGGAGAAAAAAAAAAAAACACAAAUUUUAGCAUGCUUUAGAGAUCUGAAUUCCCUCCUUUAUGUCUUGUUCUUCUUAUUGUUCUUUCUUAGUGCUGAAUCACUAUCAAAUUUCUGCCCUGGCUUUUUUUUGAGGGAAAUUGACACAAAUCUGCUUCCAUCUGUGCUACUAUUUCCUUGCAGAGGUAAAAGGGACAUUCUGUGUGGAAGUUGUAAUGGAGCUGGCUUUAUUGGUGGAUUCAUGAGCACUUUUGAUGAUUAGAGUCUUGUAAGCACUGAAUCUUCACCAAGUUGCCAAUCCUCAAAACUACACAUCCUAACAUUUUUCUAUCUGUUUUGCUUUGUGUCAUAUGAAGAAAUGCUUGUUGGCUUGAAAUUUUUGUACUUUUUACUAUGGGCUACAGAAUUUCCCUGUGCUACUUGCAGGUGAAAUAAAAACUGGAGGAAAUCCUUACUACUUUGGGUCUUUUGUUAAUUUGUAACAACAAAAUACUUUAUCCUAAAACAAAAAAAGAAAAUCCUAACUUUGAUCUUAUUCCAAUA